This 111-nucleotide ribosomal RNA is filed under the name Bacillus sonorensis. The record is from RNAcentral. Lineage: Bacteria; Bacillati; Bacillota; Bacilli; Caryophanales; Bacillaceae.
UGGUGGCGAUAGCGAAGAGGUCACACCCGUUCCCAUGCCGAACACGGAAGUUAAGCUCUUCAGCGCCGAUGGUAGUUGGGGGUCUCCCCCUGUGAGAGUAGGACGCCGCCA